CCCUUAGAUGUCCGGGGCUGCACGCGCGCUACACUGUAGAAAGCAGCGUGCUUUAAAACCUUUCCUGAAAAGGAUGGGUAACCCCAGCAAAAUUCUACGUGCUUGGGAUAGAGAUUUGCAAUUUUCUCUCUUGAACGAGGAAUUCCCAGUAAGCGCGGGUCAUCAUCCCGCGCUGAAUACGUCCCUGCCCUUUGUACACACCGCCCGUCGCUCCUACCGAUUGAGUGGUCCGGUGAGGCUUUGGGAUCUGAGCGGAAAGAGCGUUUCGCUGUUUCUGCUCGGAAAACUCAGUCGAACCUUACCAUUUAGAGGAAGGAGAAGUCGUAACA
Molecule: ribosomal RNA, 329 nt
Filed under: uncultured eukaryote
Lineage: Eukaryota
Description: partial 18S ribosomal RNA
Rfam family: Eukaryotic small subunit ribosomal RNA
Source: RNAcentral